Molecule: ribosomal RNA, 238 nt
Filed under: Paenibacillus sp. VCA1
Lineage: Bacteria; Bacillati; Bacillota; Bacilli; Caryophanales; Paenibacillaceae
Description: partial 23S ribosomal RNA
Rfam family: Bacterial large subunit ribosomal RNA
Source: RNAcentral
AUCUGGUAAGGCUAAAUACUCCCUAGCGACCGAUAGUGAAACAGUACCGUGAGGGAAAGGUGAAAAGCACCCCGGAAGGGGAGUGAAAUAGAACCUGAAACCGUGUGCUUACAAGAAGUCAGAGCCCAUUUUAGGGGUGAUGGCGUGCCUUUUGUAGAAUGAACCGGCGAGUUACGUUCCCGUGCAAGGUUAAGGUGAGAAGCCGUAGCCGCAGCGAAAGCGAGUCUGAAUAGGGCGA